UACAGAGGUCCCAAGCGUUACUGAGAAUCACUGGGUUUAAAGGGUGCGUAGGUGGUCCGUUAAGUCAGUUGUGAAAUCCCCGGGCUCAACUCGGGAACUGCUUCUGAUACUGGCGGACUUGAGGCCAGUAGGGGUCAUAGAACUGACGGUGGAGCGGUGAAAUGCGUAGAUAUCGUCAGGAAUGCCGGUGGUGAAGACGGGUGACUGGGCUGGUUCUGACACUGAGGCAC
RNAcentral lists this ribosomal RNA (230 nucleotides) under uncultured bacterium. RNAcentral describes it as "partial 16S ribosomal RNA". It matches the Rfam family "Bacterial small subunit ribosomal RNA", at positions 524 to 754 of the family's 1533-position model. The record is from RNAcentral.